UACGUAGGGGUCGAGCGUUGUCCGGAGUUACUGGGCGUAAAGAGCGCGCAGGCGGUCGUUCAAGUCGAGUGUGAAAGCCCCCGGCUCAACUGGGGAGGGUCAUUCGAUACUGAUCGACUCGAAGGCAGGAGAGGGUAGUGGAAUUCCCGGUGUAGUGGUGAAAUGCGUAGAUAUCGGGAGGAACACCAGUGGCGAAGGCGGCUUCCUGGACCGACACUGACGCUGAGGCGCGAAAGCUAGGGGAGCAAACGGG
RNAcentral lists this ribosomal RNA (253 nucleotides) under uncultured bacterium. RNAcentral describes it as "partial 16S ribosomal RNA". It matches the Rfam family "Bacterial small subunit ribosomal RNA", at positions 524 to 776 of the family's 1533-position model. The record is from RNAcentral.